UACGUAGGGGGCUAGCGUUGUCCGGAAUCAUUGGGCGUAAAGCGCGUGUAGGCGGUUCGGUAAGUCCGCUGUGAAAGUCGGGGGCUCAACCCUCGAAUGCCGGUGGAUACUGUCGGACUAGAGUACGGAAGAGGCGAGUGGAAUUCCUGGUGUAGCGGUGAAAUGCGCAGAUAUCAGGAGGAACACCGAUGGCGAAGGCAGCUCGCUGGGACGGUACUGACGCUGAGACGCGAAAGCGUGGGGAGCAAACAGG
This 253-nucleotide ribosomal RNA is filed under the name uncultured bacterium. RNAcentral describes it as "partial 16S ribosomal RNA". It matches the Rfam family "Bacterial small subunit ribosomal RNA", at positions 524 to 776 of the family's 1533-position model. The record is from RNAcentral.